GGAGCUCUCCCAUAUGGUCGACCUGCAGGCGGCCGCGAAUUCACUAGUGAUUGUUUGAUCCUGGCUCAGAUUGAACGCUGGCGGCAGGCUUAACACAUGCAAGUCGAACGGUAACAGAGAAUAGCUUGCUAUUUUGCUGACGAGUGGCGGACGGGUGAGUAAUGCUUGGGAAUUUGCCGAAAGGUGGGGGACAACAGUUGGAAACGACUGCUAAUACCGCAUAAUGUCUACGGACCAAAGGUGGCCUCUAUUUAUAUGCUAUCGCCUUUCGAUGAGCCCAAGUGGGAUUAGCUAGUUGGUAAGGUAAUGGCUUACCAAGGCGACGAUCCCUAGCUGGUCUUAGAGGAUGACCAGCCACACUGGAACUGAGACACGGUCCAGACUCCUACGGGAGGCAGCAGUGGGGAAUAUUGCACAAUGGGGGAAACCCUGAUGCAGCCAUGCCGCGUGUGUGAAGAAGGCUUUCGGGUUGUAAAGCACUUUCAGCGAGGAGGAAAGGGUGAUGGCUAAUAUCCAUUAUCUGUGACGUUACUCGCAGAAGAAGCACCGGCUAACUCCGUGCCAGCAGCCGCGGUAAUACGGAGGGUGCAAGCGUUAAUCGGAAUUACUGGGCGUAAAGCGCGCGUAGGUGGUUAAUUAAGUCAGAUGUGAAAGCCCAGGGCUCAACCUUGGAACUGCAUUUGAAACUGGUUGACUAGAGUUUUGUAGAGGGUGGUAGAAUUUCAGGUGUAGCGGUGAAAUGCGUAGAGAUCUGAAGGAAUACCAGUGGCGAAGGCGGCCACCUGGACAAAGACUGACACUGAGGCGCGAAGGCGUGGGGGAGCAAACGGGAUUAGAUACCCCGGUAGUCCACGCA
This 856-nucleotide ribosomal RNA is filed under the name Alteromonadales bacterium. Its description in RNAcentral is "bacterial SSU rRNA". It matches the Rfam family "Bacterial small subunit ribosomal RNA", at positions 1 to 801 of the family's 1533-position model. The record is from RNAcentral. Lineage: Bacteria; Pseudomonadati; Pseudomonadota; Gammaproteobacteria; Alteromonadales.